This 440-nucleotide ribosomal RNA is filed under the name uncultured bacterium. Its description in RNAcentral is "partial 16S ribosomal RNA". It matches the Rfam family "Bacterial small subunit ribosomal RNA", at positions 338 to 795 of the family's 1533-position model. The record is from RNAcentral.
CCUACGGGAGGCAGCAGUGGGGAAUAUUGCACAAUGGGGGAAACCCUGAUGCAGCGACGCCGCGUGAGCGAUGAAGUAUUUCGGUAUGUAAAGCUCUAUUAGCAGGGAAGAAAAUGACGGUCCCUGACUAAGAAGCCCCGGCAAACUACGUGCCAGCAGCCGCGGUAAUACGUAGGGGGCAAGCGUUAUCCGGAUUUACUGGGUGUAAGGGGAGCGUAGACGGUUGUGCAGGCCAGAUGUGAAAGCCCGGGGCUCAACACCGGGACUGCAGUUGGAACUGUGUGGCUGGAGUGUCGGAGAGGCAGGCGGAAUGCGUAGUGUAGCGGUGAAAUGCGUAGAUAUUAGGAGGAACACCAGUGGCGAAGGCGGCCUGCUGGACGAUGACUGACGUUGAGGCUCGAAAGCGUGGGGAGCAAACAGGAUUAGAUACCCCAGUAGUC